This 813-nucleotide ribosomal RNA is filed under the name Enterococcus faecium. Its description in RNAcentral is "partial 16S ribosomal RNA". It matches the Rfam family "Bacterial small subunit ribosomal RNA", at positions 72 to 847 of the family's 1533-position model. The record is from RNAcentral. Lineage: Bacteria; Bacillati; Bacillota; Bacilli; Lactobacillales; Enterococcaceae.
UUUCUUUACCACCGUGAGCCUUCGCUCCACCGAGAAAAAAAAUGACUGAGCGAACGGGUGACUAACACGUGGGUAACCUGCCCAUAAGAAGGGGAUAACACUUGGAAACUGGUGCUACUACCGUAUAACAAUCGAAACCGCAUGUUUUUGAUUUGAAAGGCGCUUUCGGGUGUCGCUGAUGGAUGGACCCGCGGUGCAUUAGCUAGUUGGUGAGGUAACGGCUCACCAGGGCCACGAUGCAUACCCGACCAGAGAGGGUGAUCGGCCACUUUGAGACAGACACACGGCCCAAACUCCUACGGGAGGCAGCAGUAGGGAAUCUUCCGCAAUGGAAAAAAGUCUGACCGAACAACCCCGCGUGAGUGAAAAGUGUUUUCAGAUCAUAAAACUCUGUUGUUAGAAAAAAACAGGGAAGAGAGUAACUGUUCCUCCCUUGACGGUAUCUAACCAAAAAGCCACGGCUAACUACGUGCCAACACCCGCGGUAAUACGUGGGUGGCAAGCGUUGUCCGGAUUUAUUGGGCGUAAAGCGAGCGCGCGCGGUUUCUUAUGUCUGAUGUGAACCCCCCCGGCUCAAGCGGGGAGGGUCAUUGAAAACUGGGAGACUUGUGUGCAGAAGAAGAGAGUGGAAUUCCGUGUGUAGCGGUGAAAUGCAUAUAUAUGUGGAGGAACACCAGUGGCGAACGCGGCUCUCUGGUCUGUCACUGACUCUGAGGCUCAAAAGCGUGGGGAGCAAACGAGAUUAUAUACUCUGGUAGUCCACUCCAUAAACGAUGAGUGCUAUGUGUGGGAGGGUUCCCCCCCUUCUUUGCU